AUUGAACGCUGGCGGCAGGCCUAACACAUGCAAGUCGAACGGUAACAGGAAGAAGCUUGCUUCUUUGCUGACGAGUGGCGGACGGGUGAGUAAUGUCUGGGAAACUGCCUGAUGGAGGGGGAUAACUACUGGAAACGGUAGCUAAUACCGCAUAACGUCGCAAGACCAAAAAGGGGGACCUUCUGGCCUCUUGCCCUCGUAUGUGCCCAGAUGGGAUUAGCUAGUAGGUGGGGUAACGGCUCACCUAGGCGACGAUCCCUAGCUGGUCUGAGAGGAUGACCAGCCACACUGGAACUGAGACACGGUCCAGACUCCUACGGGAGGCAGCAGUGGGGAAUAUUGCACAAUGGGCGCAAGCCUGAUGCAGCCAUGCCGCGUGUAUGAAGAAGGACUUCGGGUUGUAAAGUACUUUCAGCGGGGAGGAAGGGAGUAAAGUUAAUACCUUUGCUCAUUGGCGUUACCCGCAGAAGAAGCACCGGCUAACUACGUG
RNAcentral lists this ribosomal RNA (490 nucleotides) under uncultured bacterium. RNAcentral describes it as "partial 16S ribosomal RNA". It matches the Rfam family "Bacterial small subunit ribosomal RNA", at positions 30 to 507 of the family's 1533-position model. The record is from RNAcentral.